CCUACGGGAGACAGCAGUGAGGAAUAUUGGUCAAUGGACGCAAGUCUGAACCAGCCAUGCCGCGUGCAGGAAGACGGCUCUAUGAGUUGUAAACUGCUUUUGUACGAGGGUAAACGCAGAUACGCGUAUCUGUCUGAAAGUAUCGUACGAAUAAGGAUAGGCUAACUCCGUGCAAGCAGCGGCGGUAAUACGGAGGAUUCAAGCGUUAUCCGGAUUUAUUGGGUUUAAAGGGUGCGUAGGCGGUCGGAUAAGUUAGAGGUGAAAUCCCGAGGCUCAACUUCGGAAUUGCCUCUGAUACUGUUCGGCUAGAGAGUAGUUGCGGUAGGCGGAAUGUAUGGUGUAGCGGUGAAAUGCUUAGAGAUCAUACAGAACACCGAUUGCGAAGGCAGCUUACCAAGCUACUUCUGACGUUGAGGCACGAAAGCGUGGGGAGCAAACAGGAUUAGAUACCCCGGUAGUC
This 460-nucleotide ribosomal RNA is filed under the name uncultured bacterium. RNAcentral describes it as "partial 16S ribosomal RNA". It matches the Rfam family "Bacterial small subunit ribosomal RNA", at positions 338 to 795 of the family's 1533-position model. The record is from RNAcentral.